AACCAAUGGCCCCCUGAACGCGCAUUGCACUCUUGGGACUU
Molecule: ribosomal RNA, 41 nt
Filed under: Symbiodinium sp. Acro33a
Lineage: Eukaryota; Dinophyceae; Suessiales; Symbiodiniaceae
Also listed under: 5 other names
Description: partial 5.8S ribosomal RNA
Source: RNAcentral